Molecule: ribosomal RNA, 328 nt
Filed under: Teyl damsonoides
Lineage: Eukaryota; Metazoa; Arthropoda; Arachnida; Araneae; Anamidae
Description: partial 12S ribosomal RNA
Source: RNAcentral
UCUAAAAAUAAAAAGGUAAUACCCCCGGAGAAACCUUCACUCAUUGACGGCCUUUUUUCUAAUCGGAGGAACUUGUUAAAUUAUCGAAAUUACCCGUUUAUUUUUUCCCCCCUUCAAAGCUUUUAUACCGUCGUCUUAAGAAAAACCUUAGUGGGAGUUUUCGGAAUUAAUUUAUUAAAUAAGUCAGAUCAAGGUGAAGCCUAUAGGUGCGCGCUUAAUGAGUUAUAUAUAAAAAAGAUUUAAGGAAAUAUGUGUAAAUCCCUAAUGAAUAAAGAUUUGAAAGUACACUCUCAUUAAAAAUACUAGUGGAAAUAGAAAAAAUAGGUGU